Molecule: long non-coding RNA, 1161 nt
Organism: Musa acuminata AAA Group (dessert banana)
Lineage: Eukaryota; Viridiplantae; Streptophyta; Magnoliopsida; Zingiberales; Musaceae
Exons: 4
Source: RefSeq, a predicted model, not a curated record
UGGAUCACGUUAUUAUAAGCUGCCAAAUGCUCUGUGGCGUCGGCCCGACUCAAAGAUGAGGGAGGAUCAGAGGAAGCGGAGCCCCCACGACAUCGACGAGCGCGAGUUCCGACGCCUUCUCGACCUCCUUCCCGUCGUCCUGAUCUCGAAACCACCGCGUCCAGGAGACUGAGAGGUGGGUUUGGCUUCGCUAACUCGAGUCCUGUUCAACACAAUGCAAGCUUCGGAGGAGAGACACAGAAAGGAGCAGAUGGAGCUGUUGAUGAUGAGAAGAGGAUGGUGUACACAGGACCCAAUCCUCUGCACAACAAAUAGAAAAAUGGUAAAUGUUUGAGAUCACAGUUAGAUUAUUGGCAGCCAAGUGAGCGUUAUUACUGCUGACCGAAAUGGUUAAAGUUGAUGGAGAUCGUCUCAGUCACACACAUGAUGAGAUUCAACCAUAUGAUCGGUAGAGUUGAUCUCAACCUGUCCCCCUUGCCGUGGUUAUUGUCCUUUUUAUAUCUGCGCCGGUUCUCUUCUCUAUUACCCUGAUAGAAGACAUGAAAUCUGCCUGCCCCCGAGAAGCGAUCUUAAAUCGGGAAGAAGCUUUGGGCAUUAGUUUCGGAAAACAUUGUUCUGUGACAAACGUAAUUUGCACAAGAGACAGGUAGAAGAGCCCACAGGUACUCGUGACCAGUCGGUACGUGAUUACAUGCUCAAGCAGACGAUGGAUGGCAGAGAAAGGGCAUCCAAAAGGCUGCUUUACGGUUCCAUCCUGUAAGGUCAGGGUGAUGCUUCCAACACAGUAGAUGAGACAGUUUUGAAAAGGAGGGAGGCAAUUAAAAGACUGUCUUUGGCGAUGCAUGGCUGAGGGUGGAGACAUGUAGAUGAGGCAGGGAGUGAGUACCCUUGGUAGGAUGUACAACCUACUAAGAGCACAAUAAAUGCGCUCAGCGGAGGCUACCGAGAAGCGAGAGCAGCUCCGGACACAGAAAACAAUCCCCAAGAAAAUCUAUACUUGUUAACAGAUCUGACAAGUCUCGUCAUAGUGAAUACUUCAAAAGUCUGCGUUUCUUGUAACAUUUUCUGCUCUACAUUUAUUGCUCUCUCUGUCUCUGUACGUCUCUGUGUCUCUACAGAUAUCUCCUCCUUUGGAGACAAAACACCGGAGAUUAGAACAUA